AAGGUUUCCUCCGGAAGGCUCGUCCGCGGAGGGUAAGUCAGGACCUAAGGCGAGGCUGAAAAGCGUAGUCGAUGGAAAACAGGUUAAUAUUCCUGUACUUCUGGUUAUUGCGAUGGAGGGACGGAGAAGGCUAGGCCAGCUUGGCGUUGGUUGUCCAAGUUUAAGGUGGUAGGCUGGAAUCUUAGGUAAAUCCGGGAUUCUAAGGCCGAGAGCUGAUGA
Molecule: ribosomal RNA, 219 nt
Filed under: Gephyrocapsa oceanica
Lineage: Eukaryota; Haptophyta; Isochrysidales; Noelaerhabdaceae
Description: partial Bacterial large subunit ribosomal RNA
Rfam family: Bacterial large subunit ribosomal RNA
Source: RNAcentral